CGGCACGGGUGAGUAACACGUAUCCAACCUGCCGUCUACUCUUGGACAGCCUUCUGAAAGGAAGAUUAAUACAAGAUGGCAUCAUGAGUCCGCAUGUUCACAUGAUUAAAGGUAUUCCGGUAGACGAUGGGGAUGCGUUCCAUUAGAUAGUAGGCGGGGUAACGGCCCACCUAGUCUUCGAUGGGUAGGGGUUCUGAGAGGAAGGUCCCCCACAUUGGAACUGAGACACGGUCCAA
Molecule: ribosomal RNA, 236 nt
Filed under: uncultured bacterium
Lineage: Bacteria
Description: partial 16S ribosomal RNA
Rfam family: Bacterial small subunit ribosomal RNA
Source: RNAcentral